CAUGUAGCAGUCAGGUAGCAUGUAGCAGUCAGGUAGCAGACAGAUGGCAGUCAGGGUCUGUCAGGUGGCAGUCAGGUGGCAGUCAGGUAGCAGUCAGGUAGCAGUCAGGUAGCAGUCAGGUGGCAGUCAGGUGGCAGUCAGGUAGCAGUCAGGUGGCAGUCAGGUAGCAGUCAGGUGGCAGUCAGGUGGCAGUCAGGUAGAAGUCAGAUAGCAGUCAGGUAGCAGUCAGGUGGCAGUCAAGUAGCAGUCAGGUGGCAGUCAGGUAGCAGUCAGGUGUCAGUCAGGUAGCAGCCAGGUGGCAGUCAAGUAGCAGUCAGGUGGCAGUCAGGUAGCAGUCAGGUAGAAGGAGGGGUGGAUUCCAU
Molecule: long non-coding RNA, 362 nt
Organism: Oncorhynchus tshawytscha (Chinook salmon)
Lineage: Eukaryota; Metazoa; Chordata; Actinopteri; Salmoniformes; Salmonidae
Source: Ensembl